This is a non-coding RNA of Bos taurus (domestic cattle), 73 nucleotides long. The record is from Rfam. NCBI's taxonomy places the organism in Eukaryota, Metazoa, Chordata, Mammalia, Artiodactyla, Bovidae.
UCCCUGGUGGUCCUGUGACUAAGACUCUGAGCUCCCAAUACAGUGGGCCUGGGUUCGAUCCCUGGUCAGGGAA